This 496-nucleotide ribosomal RNA is filed under the name uncultured bacterium. RNAcentral describes it as "partial 16S ribosomal RNA". It matches the Rfam family "Bacterial small subunit ribosomal RNA", at positions 28 to 507 of the family's 1533-position model. The record is from RNAcentral.
GAUGAACGCUGGCGGCGUGCCUAAUACAUGCAAGUCGAGCGAACAGACGAGGAGCUUGCUCCUCUGACGUUAGCGGCGGACGGGUGAGUAACACGUGGAUAACCUACCUAUAAGACUGGGAUAACUUCGGGAAACCGGAGCUAAUACCGGAUAAUAUAUUGAACCGCAUGGUUCAAUAGUGAAAGACGGUUUUGCUGUCACUUAUAGAUGGAUCCGCGCCGCAUUAGCUAGUUGGUAAGGUAACGGCUUACCAAGGCAACGAUGCGUAGCCGACCUGAGAGGGUGAUCGGCCACACUGGAACUGAGACACGGUCAGACUCCUACGGGGGGCAGCAGUAGGGAAUCUUCCGCAAUGGGCGAAAGCCUGACGGAGCAACGCCGCGUGAGUGAUGAAGGUCUUCGGAUCGUAAAACUCUGUUAUUAGGGAAGAACAAAUGUGUAAGUAACUAUGCACGUCUUGACGGUACCUAAUCAGAAAGCCACGGCUAACUACGUG